This 254-nucleotide ribosomal RNA is filed under the name uncultured bacterium. RNAcentral describes it as "partial 16S ribosomal RNA". It matches the Rfam family "Bacterial small subunit ribosomal RNA", at positions 524 to 776 of the family's 1533-position model. The record is from RNAcentral.
UACAGAGGUCCCAAGCGUUGUUCGGAUUUACUGGGCGUAAAGGGUGCGUAGGCGGGUCUUUUAAGUCAGGGGUGAAAUCCUGGAGCUCAACUCCAGAACUGCCUUUGAUACUGAGGAUCUUGAGUUCGGGAGAGGUGAGUGGAACUGCGAGUGUAGAGGUGAAAUUCGUAGAUAUUCGCAAGAACACCAGUGGCGAAGGCGGCUCACUGGCCCGAUACUGACGCUGAGGCACGAAAGCGUGGGGAGCAAACAGG